CGCCGACACGCACCCCACCGCGUCGGAGGCGCUGGGCGUGGCGCACGGCAAGUACGAGGGCGCGCAGGACUCGCUCGGGGACUUCGUCACCUUCGUGUGCCAGGAGCCGUCCGCCGACGUACAGCAGCUACAGGUUCAUAGUCUAUCGAGGAGCCCUAAGCCGGCGUACUUCAGCAGUUCGAUGCUCCCUCCACCACCUUUACCCCCAAUGGCGAGACCGGUCACUAUUAUUAGAUCUACAGCGAGCGAGGUGGGCGUGGGCGUGGGCGUGGGCGGCGGCGGCGUGGGCGUGGGCUCGCCCGCGUCCCCGGAG
Molecule: unclassified non-coding RNA, 313 nt
Filed under: Melitaea cinxia (Glanville fritillary)
Lineage: Eukaryota; Metazoa; Arthropoda; Insecta; Lepidoptera; Nymphalidae
Description: misc RNA ENSMCXG00005001886.1
Source: RNAcentral